AACUAUAUAUAUAAUUAACAAUAUUAGAACUUAACUCACACAUUUAAUCCAAAAAGAUUUAUAUAGAUACAUAGGGGUCGAUAAGGCCGUUGACAUGUCAUACCUAAAGCUAUACACAGGACACUGCCGGCAAAGCCUCUAAGAAAACAUGACCAUAACAUAUAAGAUGGGACAGGGUCCCCUACAUCCUCAUAAAACAAAGUAACAUACAUAGAACGUGACUCGGCAAUACUCCAGGAAGAUUUGGAGCUCACCAACCAAAAGCUGAUAUCUGGAGGCUGCCUACAGUGGAUGGUCCUCACCUCGCCUACCUACACCUGCGCGGCAUGAAACAUAGUGCCCCAGAAAAAAAGGCGUCAGUACAAAAAAUGUACCGAGUAUGUAAGGCAGCAAUGAAACGUAAUAAUAAUAAAAUAAUAUCUUGGGGAGAGAUAAGAGUCAACUUAUAACUUCUGACUUGUCGCUGAGGGCCAUAACAUGUAGAAUAAAUCCCAUCUCGUAUAUAUAAGUAAAAACUACAAUAUAAUAGUUCUAGUUACCUCAUUUUCAUGACUUUAACUGCCCAACUGAUCAGUGGUAACUACCCAACUAGCCGUAGCUUGGUGGUAAAUGCAUAACUGCCCAAUCGGUGGUAAAUAAUAAUACAUAACUGCCCAACCAGUGGUAACUGCCCGAUCGGCCGUAGCUCGGUGGUAGAUUUAUAACUGUCCAACCGACCGUAGCUCGGUGGUAAAUACGUAACUGCCCUACCUAAAUUACAAGUAUCUUUGCCUUGCACCAAAAACAUUUGUCGUGUAGAAUUUACUCAAAUCUAAUGGCAUUUCUCUUUUUGGUAAAGCAACGUUUUUAUGUAAUUUGACAGGAAAGUUCCUGGUACACUUAGAAAAUAAUAUAACAUAUACUUCUCUAUAAAUAUAACCUAAUCAUGUAUUCAUAAGAAAUUAACUAACAAGCCCUAUCUGUACUAAAAUCAUUUUCCAAAAUGCUAGUCAAUUUAGCAGCAACAUCGCCAAACCAAAGUCAUAUAUCCACACCCUCUUCUUUUAUUAUUCCUUUUCUUUUUUGAGUUAAAACCAAGACUAUAAAUAGUUUAUAUCUCUAGCUCAAAUUAAACUAAAUUUUUGCAUGAACCCCUGUAAGAAAGACAACAACAAGCACCAUAAAGGGUUUUGAGCAGAACGUUUCAGAAUCAUCACAAAUAAGACAUGUUUAACUGCUAAGAGUAGAAACACUUAUGAAAUAGCAUUACAUUUACGUAUCAUUACUUGGAUCAUGCCAAAAUGAAGGAAGGGCUUAACCUUAACAUACAUGGAGUAGUGAAAAAUCUGUAUAAUAUUCUUGGAAAGGAUUGCACCAUACUCUGUUAGAACCGUAAAAUUUUUACGUUGUUAAGCUUCCAAUAAUCCUCGUUGGAUUUUGGUUGAAAGAUGUUUUGUUGACAUCUUGCUAACAUUUCUGGGUGUAAGAACUUUGGUUGAAUGGCUAAAUUUGAUCUUGAUUGAAAGAAGUGUUUGUUGUAAAAAUGCUUAACAAUUUGAUGGCGUAGUCUUUUGUAUAGGAAAUGUAAGAAAUGAC
Molecule: long non-coding RNA, 1575 nt
Filed under: Nicotiana tabacum (common tobacco)
Lineage: Eukaryota; Viridiplantae; Streptophyta; Magnoliopsida; Solanales; Solanaceae
Description: long non-coding RNA (NTAB_LNC005053)
Source: RNAcentral